Molecule: long non-coding RNA, 420 nt
Organism: Centruroides sculpturatus (bark scorpion)
Lineage: Eukaryota; Metazoa; Arthropoda; Arachnida; Scorpiones; Buthidae
Exons: 3
Source: RefSeq, a predicted model, not a curated record
UUAAAGGGGGUCAUGUGUAUCUCCAGUAGAGUCUGACUUAAUUAAUGACGAUUUUACUCAUAAUAAGCAUUUACAAAUUUCCUAAAAAACCAUUUUUACUCUAAAAGCAAGAUUAAUAAAAUAAGGUGAUACAACAUUUAACUGGCUUAUUAACGAUCAAUUCUUACCAUGAGAACUUUUCAUGAAAAAGAAUUACAGGCCUAGUAUUGGACAGAAAAAAUCCGUAUAAACUCAACGUGUCUAAACAUUUUCGAGCUGAGAACCCACGACAGUUGUAAGUACAAUGAAUAUUAUAUUAUACGUGUUUUUCGAAUAUAUAUGUAAUGAAACACUAUUCAGAGAUAUACCGUACCUACUUAAUGAAAAAGGAGUGGUUACAGCAGUGUCUUGUUACGAACCAUGGACACCAAAAUACAUCGG